This is a small nucleolar RNA of Rattus rattus (black rat), 132 nucleotides long. RefSeq annotates it as small nucleolar RNA SNORA17. The record is from RefSeq and is a predicted model, not a curated record. Lineage: Eukaryota; Metazoa; Chordata; Mammalia; Rodentia; Muridae. The transcript has a single exon.
ACUGGCCCUAGAAGCAUUCCCAGAGGGAAUGCUUUGUUAUAUGUGCUUCAGUACAUGGAAGAGAAGAGAGAGACUACGUCUAUGUUCAUCAUUAUGAACUAUGAUCAUCUGAACGGUGACUAGCCUAACAUU